RNAcentral lists this ribosomal RNA (773 nucleotides) under Streptococcus anginosus. RNAcentral's name for it is "bacterial SSU rRNA". It matches the Rfam family "Bacterial small subunit ribosomal RNA", at positions 28 to 776 of the family's 1533-position model. Lineage: Bacteria; Bacillati; Bacillota; Bacilli; Lactobacillales; Streptococcaceae. The record is from RNAcentral.
GACGAACGCUGGCGGCGUGCCUAAUACAUGCAAGUAGGACGCACAGUUUAUACCGUAGCUUGCUACACCAUAGACUGUGAGUUGCGAACGGGUGAGUAACGCGUAGGUAACCUGCCUAUUAGAGGGGGAUAACUAUUGGAAACGAUAGCUAAUACCGCAUAACAGUAUGUAACACAUGUUAGAUGCUUGAAAGAUGCAAUUGCAUCGCUAGUAGAUGGACCUGCGUUGUAUUAGCUAGUAGGUAGGGUAAUGGCCUACCUAGGCGACGAUACAUAGCCGACCUGAGAGGGUGAUCGGCCACACUGGGACUGAGACACGGCCCAGACUCCUACGGGAGGCAGCAGUAGGGAAUCUUCGGCAAUGGGGGGAACCCUGACCGAGCAACGCCGCGUGAGUGAAGAAGGUUUUCGGAUCGUAAAGCUCUGUUGUUAAGGAAGAACGAGUGUGAAAAUGGAAAGUUCAUACUGUGACGGUACUUAACCAGAAAGGGACGGCUAACUACGUGCCAGCAGCCGCGGUAAUACGUAGGUCCCGAGCGUUGUCCGGAUUUAUUGGGCGUAAAGCGAGCGCAGGCGGUUAGAAAAGUCUGAAGUGAAAGGCAGUGGCUCAACCAUUGUAGGCUUUGGAAACUGUUUAACUUGAGUGCAGAAGGGGAGAGUGGAAUUCCAUGUGUAGCGGUGAAAUGCGUAGAUAUAUGGAGGAACACCGGUGGCGAAAGCGGCUCUCUGGCCUGUAACUGACGCUGAGGCUCGAAAGCGUGGGGAGCGAACAGG